This 72-nucleotide transfer RNA is filed under the name bovine gut metagenome. It matches the Rfam family "tRNA". Rfam says of the family: Transfer RNA (tRNA) molecules are approximately 80 nucleotides in length. Their secondary structure includes four short double-helical elements and three loops (D, anti-codon, and T loops). The record is from RNAcentral.
GAGCUGUAGCUCAGCUGGUUAGAGCGCACGCCUGAUAAGCGUGAGGUCGGAGGUUCAAGUCCCCCCAGCUCC